GCAAGUCGAACGGCAGCGCGGGGAGCUUGCUCCCUGGCGGCGAGUGGCGGACGGGUGAGUAACGCGUAGGAAUCUGCCUUGUAGUGGGGGACAACCCGGGGAAACUCGGGCUAAUACCGCAUAAUCUCUACGGAGCAAAGUGGGGGAUCUUCGGACCUCACGCUAUAAGAUGAGCCUGCGUUAGAUUAGCUUGUUGGUGGGGUAAAGGCCUACCAAGGCGACGAUCUAUAGCUGGUCUGAGAGGACGAUC
RNAcentral lists this ribosomal RNA (250 nucleotides) under uncultured bacterium. RNAcentral describes it as "partial 16S ribosomal RNA". It matches the Rfam family "Bacterial small subunit ribosomal RNA", at positions 57 to 305 of the family's 1533-position model. The record is from RNAcentral.